Molecule: ribosomal RNA, 489 nt
Filed under: uncultured bacterium
Lineage: Bacteria
Description: partial 16S ribosomal RNA
Rfam family: Bacterial small subunit ribosomal RNA
Source: RNAcentral
UUGAACGCUGGCGGCAGGCCUCACACAUGCACGUCGAACGGUAACAGGAAGCAGCUUGCUGCUUCGCUGACGAGUGGCGGACGGGUGAGUAAUGUCUGGGAAGCUGCCUGAUGGAGGGGGAUAACUACUGGAAACGGUAGCUAAUACCGCAUAAUGUCGCAAGACCAAAGAGGGGGACCUUCGGGCCUCUUGCCAUCGGAUGUGCCCAGAUGGGAUUAGCUUGUUGGUGGGGUAACGGCUCACCAAGGCGACGAUCCCUAGCUGGUCUGAGAGGAUGACCAGCCACACUGGAACUGAGACACGGUCCAGACUCCUACGGGAGGCAGCAGUGGGGAAUAUUGCACAAUGGGCGCAAGCCUGAUGCAGCCAUGCCGCGUGUAUGAAGAAGGCCUUCGGGUUGUAAAGUACUUUCAGCGGGGAGGAAGGGAGUAAAGUUAAUACCUUUGCUCAUUGACGUUACCCGCAGAAGAAGCACCGGCUAACUCCGUG